This is a non-coding RNA of Oncorhynchus mykiss (rainbow trout), 504 nucleotides long. NCBI's taxonomy places the organism in Eukaryota, Metazoa, Chordata, Actinopteri, Salmoniformes, Salmonidae. The record is from RefSeq and is a predicted model, not a curated record.
CACUAACUACCCCAUCAACUAGCAGAGGGCUUGUCAUGUUAUACAUCACUCUGCAUUUGGUCAAACCUGCCAUUGGAAAUGGGGAAGCAGAAGAUAAGAACCCACUGGGUACAGACAUCAAUCAGUUCAAUGUCUAUUUUGGAUUUAUUUUUGGUUGAGUUGUCAACUAAUGUGAAUUCAACGAGAAUUCACCAUGACAUUGGAUUUAGCUACCUCACAAGAAAUCCAUCUGCCUUGAGGAGGGAGCAAGUCCGUGUCUCCCAAGAGUUCCGUCUGCUCUGACUCUGGUCCCAGUCUCCAGCCCCACGUCUUGUCAGUCCUGCCACUCUGCCUAGAACACCCACUCCACUGCUUCCUUGGAUUCCGCUCCGGACCUACUUACCCAGCCCCAACUCCUCUCGCUCCAGCCUUAGCCUCAGAACCUGGCUUCCUGCAACCCUCCCAAGCUUCCCCAGGCCUGCACUCCAUCUUUCCCCUGCUUUUCAAUAAAUAACCUUGGAUACC